Molecule: ribosomal RNA, 496 nt
Filed under: uncultured bacterium
Lineage: Bacteria
Description: partial 16S ribosomal RNA
Rfam family: Bacterial small subunit ribosomal RNA
Source: RNAcentral
GAUGAACGCUGGCGGCGUGCCUAAUACAUGCAAGUCGAGCGAACAGACGAGGGGCUUGCUCCUCUGACGUUAGCGGCGGACGGGUGAGUAACACGUGGAUAACCUACCUAUAAGACUGGGAUAACUUCGGGAAACCGGAGCUAAUACCGGAUAAUAUAUUGAACCGCAUGGUUCAAUAGUGAAAGACGGUUUUGCUGUCACUUAUAGAUGGAUCCGCGCCGCAUUAGCUAGUUGGUAAGGUAACGGCUUACCAAGGCAACGAUGGGUAGCCGACCUGAGAGGGUGAUCGGCCCCACUGAAUCUGAGAGACGGGCCAGACUCCUACGGGGGGCAGCAGUCGGAACUAUACCGCAAUGGGCGAAAGCGUGACGGGUCAACGCCGCGUAACUGCAGACGUUCCUCGGAUCGUCAAACUCUCUUAUUAGGGAAGAACAAAUUUGUACGUAACUAUGCGCGUCUUGACGGUACCAAAAAAGACAGCCUCGGCUAACUACGU